This 492-nucleotide ribosomal RNA is filed under the name uncultured bacterium. RNAcentral describes it as "partial 16S ribosomal RNA". It matches the Rfam family "Bacterial small subunit ribosomal RNA", at positions 29 to 507 of the family's 1533-position model. The record is from RNAcentral.
AGUGAACGCUGGCGGUAGGCCUAACACAUGCAAGUCGAACGGCAGCACAGUAAGAGCUUGCUCUUACGGGUGGCGAGUGGCGGACGGGUGAGGAAUACAUCGGAAUCUACUUUUUCGUGGGGGAUAACGUAGGGAAACUUACGCUAAUACCGCAUACGACCUACGGGUGAAAGCAGGGGAUCUUCGGACCUUGCGCGAUUGAAUGAGCCGAUGUCGGAUUGGCUAGUUGGCGGGGUAAAGGCCCACCAAGGCGCCGAUCCGUAGCUGGUCUGAGAGGAUGAUCAGCCACACUGGAACGGAGACACGGUCCAGACUCCUACGGGAGGCAGCAGUGGGGAAUAUUGGACAAUGGGGGCAAGCCUGAUCCAGCCAUACCGCGUGGGUGAAGAAGGCCUUCGGGUUGUAAAGCCCUUUUGUUGGGAAAGAAAAGCAGCAGGUUAAUACCCCGCUGUUCUGACGGUACCCAAAGAAUAAGCACCGGCUAACUUCGUG